AGGCAGCAGUGAGGAAUAUUGGACAAUGGGCGCAAGCCUGAUCCAGCGACGCCGCGUGAGUGAUGAAGGCCUUUGGGUCGUAAAGCUCUGUCAGCAGGGAAGAACGGCCGUGUGGUUAAUACCCAUGCGGAUUGACGGUACCUGCAGAGGAAGCACCGGCUAACUCCGUGCCAGCAGCCGCGGUAAUACGGAGGGUGCGAGCGUUAAUCGGAAUUACUGGGCGUAAAGGGCGCGUAGGCGGCUGAUCAAGUCAGAUGUGAAAGCCCACGGCUUAACCGUGUGAAGUGCAUCUGAAACUGGUCGGCUUGAGUAUCGGAGAGGAAAGUGGAAUUCCCGGUGUAGAGGUGAAAUUCGUAGAUAUCGGGAGGAAUACCGGUGGCGAAGGCGACUUUCUGGACGAAUACUGACGCUGAGGCGCGAAAGCGUGGGGAGCAAACAGGAUUAGAUACCCUGGUAGUCCACAGCUGUAAACGAUGUGCACUAGAUGUGGGGAAGUGUUGA
This 501-nucleotide ribosomal RNA is filed under the name uncultured Desulfovibrio sp. Its description in RNAcentral is "bacterial SSU rRNA". It matches the Rfam family "Bacterial small subunit ribosomal RNA", at positions 346 to 835 of the family's 1533-position model. Lineage: Bacteria; Pseudomonadati; Thermodesulfobacteriota; Desulfovibrionia; Desulfovibrionales; Desulfovibrionaceae. The record is from RNAcentral.